Molecule: ribosomal RNA, 497 nt
Filed under: uncultured bacterium
Lineage: Bacteria
Description: partial 16S ribosomal RNA
Rfam family: Bacterial small subunit ribosomal RNA
Source: RNAcentral
GACGAACGCUGGCGGCGUGCCUAAUACAUGCAAGUUGAGCGAUGAGGAUCGGUGCUUGCAGCAAUCUGAAGAGCCGCGAACGGGUGAGUAACGCGUGUGGCAUCUGCCUUAGAGCGGGGGACAACAUUGGGAAACGAACGCUAAUAGCGCAUAACAACUUUAAACAUAAUUUUUAUUUUUGAAAGAUGCAAUUGCAUCACUCAAUGAUGAUUCCGCGUUGUAUUGGUUUGGUGGUGAGGUAAAUGCGCAUCAAGGCGGGGAUACAGAGCCGACCGGAGAGGGUGAUCGGCCAGAUUGGGAGUGAGACCCGCCCCAGUCUCAUACGGGAGGCAGCAGUAGUGAAUCUGCGGCAAUGGACGAAAGUCUGACCGAGCAACGCGGCGUGAGUGAGGAAGGUUUUCGGGUCGUAAAUCUCUGUUGGUAGGGAAGAACGUUGGUGAGAGUGGAAAGCUCAUCGAGUGACGGUAACUACCCAGAAAGGGACGGCUAACUACGUG